ACAGGGAUUGCCUCAGUAACGGCGAGUGAAGCGGCAAAAGCUCAAAUUUGAAAUCUGGCUCUUUCAGGGUCCGAGUUGUAAUUUGUAGAAGAUGUUUCGGGUGUGGUCCCAGUCUAAGUUCCCUGGAACUGGACAUCACAGAGGGUGAGAAUCCCGUAUGUGACUGGGUACCUACGUCCAUGUGAAACUCUUUCGACGAGUCGAGUUGUUUGGGAAUGCAGCUCAAAAUGGGUGGUAAAUUUCAUCUAAAGCUAAAUAUUGGCCAGAGACCGAUAGCGCACAAGUAGAGUGAUCGAAAGAUGAAAAGCACUUUGGAAAGAGAGUUAAACAGUACGUGAAAUUGUUGAAAGGGAAGGGCAUGCAAUCAGACUUGCGCCUAGUUGAUCAUCCGGGCUUUUGCCCGGUGCACUCGAUUAGGCUCAGGCCAGCAUCAGUUUAGAGGGUUGGAUAAAGGCCUUGGGAAUGUGGCCCCUCUCGGGGGGUGUUAUAGCCCAAGGUGCAAUGCAGCCACUCUGGACUGAGGACCGCGCUUCGGCUAGGAUGCUGGCGUAAUGGUUGUAUGCCGCCCGUCUUGAAACACGGACCAAGGAGUCUAACAUCUAUGCGAGUAUUUGGGUGUUAAACCCAUAUGCGUAAUGAAAGUGAACGGAGGUGAGAGCCCUUAAGGGUGCAUCAUCGACCGAUCCUGAUGUCUUCGGAUGGAUUUGAGUAAGAGCAUAGCUGUUGGGACCCGAAAGAUGGUGAACUAUGCGUGAAUAGGGUGAAGCCAGAGGAAACUCUGGUGGAGGCUCGCAGCGGUUCUGACGUGCAAAUCGAUCGUCAAAUUUGCGUAUAGGGGCGAAAGACUAAUCGAACCAUCUAGUAGCUGGUUCCUGCC
This 877-nucleotide ribosomal RNA is filed under the name Lambertella corni-maris. RNAcentral's name for it is "eukaryotic LSU rRNA". It matches the Rfam family "Eukaryotic large subunit ribosomal RNA", at positions 68 to 962 of the family's 3401-position model. The record is from RNAcentral. Lineage: Eukaryota; Fungi; Ascomycota; Leotiomycetes; Helotiales; Rutstroemiaceae.